RNAcentral lists this transfer RNA (51 nucleotides) under Longicollum sp. (in: thorny-headed worms). RNAcentral describes it as "tRNA-Gln". The record is from RNAcentral. Lineage: Eukaryota; Metazoa; Acanthocephala; Palaeacanthocephala; Echinorhynchida; Pomphorhynchidae.
UAGCUAGUUGACGUUAGAAGAGAUUGGGUCUUCGUAGUGUGUCAAUAGGCU